AUACCGCGGGACGAUUUAUUUU
RNAcentral lists this small nuclear RNA (22 nucleotides) under Arabidopsis thaliana (thale cress). RNAcentral's name for it is "snRNA_00234". Lineage: Eukaryota; Viridiplantae; Streptophyta; Magnoliopsida; Brassicales; Brassicaceae. The record is from RNAcentral.